CGUGAGUAACCUGCUUUGGAGUGGGGAAUAACACAUCGAAAGAUGUGCUAAUACCGCAUAAUGCAGUUGGGCCGCAUGGCUCUGACUGCCAAAGAUUUAUCGCUCUGAGAUGGACUCGCGUCUGAUUAGCUGGUUGGCGGGGUAACGGCCCACCAAGGCGACGAUCGGUAGCCGGACUGAGAGGUUGACCGGCCACAUUGGGACUGAGACACGGCCCAGACUCCUACGGGAGGCAGCAG
This 239-nucleotide ribosomal RNA is filed under the name uncultured bacterium. RNAcentral's name for it is "partial 16S ribosomal RNA". It matches the Rfam family "Bacterial small subunit ribosomal RNA", at positions 116 to 354 of the family's 1533-position model. The record is from RNAcentral.